Non-coding RNA from Zootoca vivipara (common lizard), 9924 nucleotides. The record is from RefSeq and is a predicted model, not a curated record. Lineage: Eukaryota; Metazoa; Chordata; Lepidosauria; Squamata; Lacertidae.
UUGCUUUGACGUAGAAGUCACGCGCUUCUCGCAGGAGGAAAGUAGGGUGGCAGUUGUGGCGCAUGCGCGGAAGGGGUCUGAAGGUCUCUCAAAGCUCCGUGAUUUGAGGAGUCCUGGAAUUUUGCUUGAAGUUCAUUGAGUUUAGCUUGCAGUGCGGAUAUUAAGUAACAGCUUUCAAACAAUUUUCAGACGGAAACUGAAAAAACCGAAGAGGUAGAAACUCAAAAACCAGGAAAUUAUAAACAGUUACGUCCAUAGUACUCAUAUUGGUGACUUCGAGAACACUGUCCAACCAUCUCGUCUUCUGUAGCACAUGAUUUCCUCAAAAGAAUGCUCAGAAUUGAAGUUUCUUGAGGGUGUUGAGAAUUGUAGCUUUGGGAGAUAAACUAAUAGUUCUCAGGAUUAUUUGGAGGAAGCCAAAUAUGUAAGUCGCUGACAUUACAGCCCUUUCUCAAAUAAGUUUAAGAUACUUCUAAAGAGAUGUUACUCAUUUCCUUUAAUGUGAAAUAACAUUGAAGUGCUUUGCAGGCAGGCAAGUUGCACUUUUGAAAAUAUUGUUUAUCAGAAAAUAAAAAUUAGCAUGAAAUUCCUGUCUGUUUCUAAUUUGGGGGCCUGGGGGCGGGAGGACGUGCUGGUGUCCAAACUUAUAACUGUGCUACUAUCCUGAUUUUUCCCAUUUCUCUCUUUGGAGAGGAAAACAAGCUGUUAAAUACAGAUGCCCUGUACACUCAAAGUCUAUGAAUUAGAGUGAUACAAAUCAGUACCAAUUUAGACCGGAUUUGAGAGGGGGGCAGAACCGAGUUAUCUGCGACCCAGUUGGUCAGUUCGUUAAGUGUUUUCAUUUAUUUUCUUGAUGGGGGGCGGGGUGGAUGCCCCCCCCCCACCCGGCUACGACUGAGAGAGCUUGUAGACUUGCAACAUUUCAUAUCACUCUGCGCUGCAGGCGUGUCGCCCUUAGCGCGCGCGUAAAUGAAUCCGAGGCAAAAGCGGGCGGAUCCAUUUGGUUUCCUAGAUCGGGAGUCUCUGCUUCGCCGGUUGCCAAGUGACGACAAGAAAGCGCGCGCCUAGUGGAAAAGAACGGAUUGCCGCCGCUGCCGCCGCCGCCUUGCGUUUGCCCUCCUCCUCCUCCUCCUCCUCGAAAGAAUUAACUGCCAGCUGCUUCAGAUGACUGUCUUUCUCUCUGAAAUGCACCUAUGGUCUUUGAAGAGCACCUUGCAUGUUCAAGACCAAGACAUUGGAAUCUAUCAUUACUAUGACAAAAAGGAAGCAGAACCACAAAUUAACUUUGGCUGCUUAUAUGAGAAACAACAGUUAGCAGAAUCUCGAGAUUAUCCUUGGGUACUUAAGAACAAACGUCCGGAAAAGCUGCGAGACACACUUCAGGAGCUGGAGGAACUGAUGCAAAACAGUCGGUGUGUACUGAGCAAAUGGAAGAGCAAAUACGUCUGUCAGCUUCUCUUUCAUUCAGGUGUACUGGUAUCCCUAGGCCUUUCAGGGCCACAGCUGGAGCGAGUGGUGAUUGACAGAACCCUGAUGGGGAAGCUCAUCUCCGACACUAUCAGCGAUGCUGUUCUUACAGACAGUUUCAUGAUCUUGUCAUUUUGGGAGCAAAGCAAACUCUGCUUUAUUCAGUUCACAAAGAAGGCAAAUUCUCCUGAUGCAAACAUAAAGCUUGAAAAACUCUCCUCCUUGGAUUUUAAGAUAUCUUAUAUUGACACACCCGAACUAGGCAAUAGAAGAACAAAGCACCAUCUGGCAAUAAAUAGCAAAGAAGAUAGAGUUAUAUGCUGGUGGUUGGCGGCAAAGGAUGAAGUGUGGCCUUGGUCUCCUGGUUCCAGUGAAAGAGAGAGAGCCAACAUGCUGCUCUUGACCUAUGAGCAUGGCAGCUUGCAGAUUCUGAGUUACAUACGUACCGAUGGGGAUCCACUUGAUGCCAGCUUUAGCUCAUGUAAUCCUUAUCAGAUUCAUACUGUAGAACACGCUUUCAAUGCAGACUACGAGUCCAUGGCUGACAGCUGCAUCUAUGAGUACGUUAAGAAUAAAGUUCAGUGUGUGGCAGUCACUAAAAUACCACUCCUAUCAAAGGCCAUCAGCUGCUGCCGGAACAUUACAGAAGACAAACUUGUUCUGGGGUGUGAAGAUUCUUCAAUAGUCCUAUAUGAAGCCUACCGUCAAGUAACUUUAUCAGCACAGGCAGAACUAUUGCCUGUCGUAAUGUGUUGCCACCCCAGUGAAGCCAUAGUCCUGGUUGGUAGUUCACAAGGGGAACUUCAGCUGUUUGAUAUGGCACUAUCUCCAAUUAAAAUGCAGGUUUUAGCUGAAGACUUCUCAACCAAAUCAACUUUGCAGUUCAGUGAACAUUUUGAUGUAUCCAGCAGCCUCAUCCAGAUCCAGUGGGUUGCUCCUAAAGUUUCAUGUCCAAGUAUGGAUGAUGUAGAUAUCCAUGAUCUUCUCUUACUUCAGUUUGACAAAGGACCUAUUGGAGUGCUGCAUUUUAAAGUUGGUGUCAUGCCAAGAGGGCAGCUUGGCCUUGUAGAAAUCAUCCAGGAAUAUAUUCAUCAGAAUGAGAUACAUGAGGCAAUUAAUAUCCUGAGCAGCAUGAACUGGAACAUAAUGGGCCAUCAAUGCUAUAUAAGCCUAAGUGCCAUACUAAACUAUCUUCUCAGACAAAAGCUGGAUCUUACAAGAGAAGCUCAGCUGGAGGCAAGCCUUGGAACCUUCUAUGCACCCACAAGGCCUCUCUCUGAGACAACUGUGUUGGAAUACAGGGACCAGAUCAGCAGAUAUGCAAGAAGAUUCUUCCACCAUCUGCUCAGGCAUCAAAGAUUUGAAAAGGCCUUUCUGCUUGCUGUUGAUAUUGGUGCCCGGGACUUAUUUAUGGACAUCCAUUACUUUGCACUAGAUAAGGGUGAAUUGGCACUAGCUGAAGUGGCAAAGAAAAAAGCUAACGACAUUGACACAGAAUCAAUAACCACUGGAGUUGAGAUUCCAGGCAAUAUGGACAGAGAAGAUGCUUUGAGUGACACUUUUGUAAACCUGACUAUACUGCCACAGGAGGACCAGAAAGUUCAAGGCAGUCUCCCAACCUUCAGUGCCAGUGCUCGAUGUCUCACACAUGUGACAUACAACAGUUCUACAAGAUCUACUUUUUCUAAGAAGACAGACAAAAGGGACUGUGAAUUUGUAACAGGCAACUGCACAGCUCCAAAGGUGGACAAGCCUGCAUCUUGGUGUCAGACUGAAACUCCCGAGGAAACACGUGAUGGACAGCACACAGCAUAUGGGUCCUGCCAAAAGCCAUUCAGAUUCUGUACAGAAUACUUUGAAAUCAAAAGUGGUUCCAUCGAAGUGGUGCAUUUUGGCCUGGUAUAAGCCAAAUUCUUAAUAGUUAAGAUCUUGGAAGAAAGUCAGGAGGACCCUACCCACCAAUUGUUGAGAAUUUUCAACCUCCUUAUUUCAAUCAAUUCUGUAAUAGAGUUCAAAUACCGUACAUAUUUACUUGAGUCUAAUGUGCCAUCAAAUCUAAUGUGUACCUCAAUUUUCAGAACCUUGAAACCAAAAAAAGUAUUUGCUGGUUAAUGUAAAUGUACCAUUGAAUCUAAGUAACCUUAAUUUUCACAACGUAAUUUGGCCAGAACAGGUGAGUAUUAGAUUCAAGUAAAUUUGGUAGCAGUAAACGCUCAGUACUUUUAGUCCCAUUUCUAUGGGAGUAAGUUCAGCAAGUAGACAUAAUGUCUGAAUGUAGACAUUCAGUCAUUUAAAAAACCCUCUCUCUCUCUCUCUCUCUCUCUCUCUCUCUCAUACACACACAGAGAGAGAGAGGGGGGAGAGAGAGAGAGAGAGAGAGAGAGAGAGAGAGAGAGAGAGAGAGAGAGAGAGAGAGCAGCUUUGUAACUUUAUUGCAAGGAAGUCCAGCAAAUGUGGCAAAUAAUUACACAGUACAAAUAUACUGGAUAUAAUAGAGAGACAGUUAUAUGAGUUGGAUUUGGAAAUGAAUCCAGGAUUGCUGCCCUAAAGUGGGUGGCUUUUCUACCAUCUGAUAGCACCUUUGUUCCAGGUUCACAAAGACCUAGACAUGUCUCCUCAGAAGUAAAUUCUACCUAGCUAAAUGGGGCUUGCUCCAAGAUAAGCAGGUAUACAAUUACAGCCUAAAUAUCUUUUAAGGCAGCCCAUUCUCUUGAAGUUUGCAAAUACCUGUUCAUCUGUGCAAAUCCCUAAAUUUUACAAUGCCACAAAUUGCAAAAUAAACCCUAUAUACAUCAAGGCCAACAGCACUGUAUAGUUGUCACAUGUAGGGUAAUGAAGACCAUGAACACAUGCACAAACUGGGGACCUGUUUGAGACCCCAUGAAACUUUUCUUCCCAGUUCCAUAAACUGACAGCAUAAAUAAACCUUCAUGGGUUUAUUUAUGGGUAAAAAGAUUCAUUUGGAACUGGAAAGUGGGCUUCAGCUUCUCAUCUUUAAAGCCACAUGGAGAUUGACCAGCCCCACCUUUUCCCCAGCUCCUGGGCCACAGCUCUGGAAGGUCAGUCAAGCCCUGAAAGGAACUGCAAGCAGCAUUGAAAUGUUAUGAAGGAGAAGAGCCUGUUUUUGCUCAUAGAGUCCAGGGGCUCCGGGCUCCCAUGGGGGCUUACCAUCCAGAACCCCCAGCUUCUCCCUCCUUUCAAAGUCAAAGCUGGUAGUGGGCAACUGAGGAUGAGACUGCAUCUCCCCAUACCCUGGGGAGACAUCUGGAGGCUGCAUACUCCCCUCUACAGCUUAUAAAUUUCCCCAUGGGGGUUGGAGAGAUGGAAUUUUCAACCAUCUUCUACGGUGAUCCAAGCAGAAGUCCGGCAAAAGUCCUAUCCUUGACCACUGAGCCUGCUAGCAUAAAGGGUACAGUUUCCAAGUGCCACCAAAGCACUAUUUAGCUAUUCAACAGAAUGUAUAGUACCACAUGCACUGACCCCUCCACUUAUGAACUUCACAUACUCAGCAUUCCUGGACUGUGUAAACAUAGACGUUUAAGUUCAAGUUUGCAUUUAAUUGGAUUUGUCACACAUUUUCCUUCACUGGAAUUCUAGAUACCAACAGAACCACCAACAGGACCAUCAUCAGAACUACCAACAAUAUCAGUGGCGAACACCCCCAAGAGCUGUCUGGAAACCUUUUGGAUCGUUCAGUGUUCAGUGGUGGGCUGACUAGUCAAUCCUCUGCAGCACUAAGGAGUCCCUGUAAGACUAAAACAAUAUAGGUUAUCAUCUUUCCAGGACAAAGGAAUUACACCAAAUCUUCUCAACUGCAUAUCUCCCUCAACCUGCGCAGGACACACACAAAAACCCCACUUAAGUCAAGAGGUGAGAUAUUAACUGAGACAGCCCCAUGGCUCUUAUGGUGGCCAAGAAUCACCAUGUUCUGGUCCUGUGGAGGAGCACAAUGCAGGUCAGCAAGCACUUCCAGUGAGCAACUUGUUCCAACAAAGAAUGGAAAUGAAUGGAGGUAUUUUGAGCCUCUGCCUCCUUUGGGAGAACUAAUCUAUUGAAGAGCCAACCCUCUAGAGUGAGGACUCCUGCAUGACCUAUAGCCUGGUACACUCCCUGCUUGUUGUACUGGUGAGGUUGGGUUGAGAGGCACUUGGUUCCCUGAGCCCAGGAAAGGCACCUGUGAGGGUCCUUGCUCUGGUUCUUUGGGCCCUUGUGCUGCAGGAUCUGGUUCAGGGGCUCCUGCCUGCUAGCUUUGCAUGCAGUGGUCUCCUGAUCACCAUCGUCUGCUCAGAGCCAGAAACUUGACCUGACUCCUGGGCUGGCAACUCCUUUGACUCGGCAUCCUGGUCACUGCUGGACUCCAGAGAAAUAACAUGAAUUAUUUUUUUAAGCCCACCAGACAAGGGGGGCAAAGUAGGAAUGCUGAUAUGGAGGUAACUGAACACAGACAGCCUGUGACUAUACUGAGAUAAUAUCUUGACACUUGCAUCUCACCAUAGUUUGCGUUCAUAAUGACAAUACGCAUGCAAGGCUAUUGGAUCAGAGUUCAUAUUCUGCCAGCUCCCAUUAAAAAAAAUAUUUCAGGUACACCUUUGAGAGACACAGUCAUAUCAUCCCAAAACAAGUUAUUUCUCUUAUUGCCCUAUGGAACAUACAUAACCAUAAAUGAAGACAAAAUGCCUUUUUUGGAACAGGACGCUUCAAAUUCCUGUCUCUCCAACUUAAACCCGAAUAAAGAGACAAUUCAAGCAAGGGACCAGCAUGGGCCCUUUCUUCCUUUGAAAAUAAACCGCUGCCAUGGAAGAAUAGCCCUACUCAGGAGGUAAUGAGUAUGCAUAUUGGGAGAUAUUCAUGUUUCUUUGCUACAGACACAGGUCUCGGAGAGCUAUAUUUGAAGUGAUUCUCUCUUUUUUUUUACAAUGUUCUAUACUGUGUUUCUUAAUGCUACAAUUGCAUCGAUUGAAGUCAGCAGAUCCUUCACUGCAUCCUGUGUAAAUCUCUUGAGCAUUUCAAGUGACCCCAUGGCUCAGGGUAAAACAUUUAAAAAGAACAGCUUGCUUUUCAGAUACGAUUGACAAGGGCCAACACUUCUCAAGGUACAAAACACAGAAGCUAUUUUCACCUCCCUCAUUAACUCACAACAUAAUGCUUAGAAUAUAAGAUGAUCACUGUCUAUAACAGUGGUUCUCAAACUUUUUUCUCUGGGUCACACUUUCAGAAUUUAAAAAAAAUUCUACUUUAUAAUAUGAUAAUGGGACAUCCAGAAAAUAUAAAACAAUGCAGUUAGAUAAGAACAUGAAUCAUUCCCAGAAUAUAAUUAUAAACGAGUCUUCUCUAGCACUCUAUUCAAAUGGUGACCGAAUCAUAACUAAGUAUCACUUAGAAUCAUAGAAUCAUAGAAUCAUAGAGUUGGAAGAGACCACAAGGGCCAUCCAGUCCAACCCCCUGCCAAGCAGGGGGGUACACACAGAGCCAACCCCUUGAUGCUCUUGCUCUCAUUUUGAAAAUAUAUCCAUAUUCUGCAAAUAAUUUUUUUAUACUAUACUAUACUACACUGAAAUAUUUAAAUAUUUCCUUGAUUGUCCUUGAAUCUUCUCACCCCCCUUGCCAUCCUCUCCAGCCACACCCUUUGAGAACACAGCAUGUUUUGCUUACGUUCUUUCCAUUUACUUUUCUAGUCUAACUCUUGAGUCAAACACUAAUACCAUAUUACAGUUUUUCCAUUAAGGAACAAACUCAACUUCUAGAGCAGGCAUCCCCAAACUGCGGCCCUCCAGAUGUUUUGGCCUACAACUCCCAUGAUCCCUAGCUAACAGGACAAGUGGUUGGGGAAGAUGGGAAUUGUAGUCCAAAACAUCUGGAGGGCCGAAGUUUGGGGAUGCCUGUUCUAGAGUUUUCUAACCAAGUCACAAUUUAUUUCACAUUAUUGUACAGCUGAGUGAAAAAUAAAUAAAAAUAAAAUAAAAAUACAUGUUCUGUGGGAUAGUAAUGAUGUUAAAGAGGCAAAUCACAUUUGUAUUGAUUUGUAUUGAUUUUUACUGAGGGGAGCAGCUGUCCCCCUGCCCCCGGCUACUCUCAUGGUGUGCACCCAUGGAUUUUUGCCUUUGUGGAAAAGGGGGCAGGAGCACACAGAGGAAUGGCCUGGGGUGCACCCUUGAGCCCCAAACACAAGUUUAACCCUGAAACAACGCCUCUUGGAGGGACCCACACUGUUGCUUGAGGUGAUAUAACAAUGCAAGGCUUCCAUGUGUGCCCGCACCACAAAACAGCCUCUCACCUCCACAGAUGUCUCCACCAAAAGUGGUGUGUGGUAGGCUCCUCAGAACCCAACUCACCAACCACUGGUGAUUAUGGCUAAUAUGGAGGUGGGCACCAUGGCCUGCCCAGGGGCCUGAGGCAUAGCUCACUGGGAUACAUGGAGGAUCAGCCUGGUCAACAUGUCAGAGCCAUGCUCUACUACAGCUGAGGAAGGUCAGGGACUCACAAAGACACUUUCUCACCUCCAGACAUUAAGGUGUGCCUGGGCACCCCCUGUAUGCACACCUAUGCCUAAAAUUAAACUACUACUUCAAUGCUUUUUUUGGAAAUGCCGAAUGUCAGAUUCUUUCCAAAAACAUUUCUCCCUUUUUUUUGGUGCCCCUGCUUUGCUCACUCUUCCUCCGUUUUUCUGUUAUCUUUUUAUUAUUUAUUACAUAUCCCCACCUAAACCUAUUUCUUGGGCUAAUGCUGACAGAUGCUAGGCUAGGUUGCCAAAAGUUGGAAGACAGGUGUUCAGUUAACAGCUGAGAAUUGGAUAAGACGCUUUUCAUUUAUAACUGUGACUGAAAAACUGAUGUUUGAUUUGUUAUUCAUGAAUGCACUUUACUUUUUGCUGUAUGGCAUGUAUUCCUUAAGUAUACAUGGCAACAUCACUGUGCUGUGCAAAUGUCAGCCAUGGGACACAGUAUAGUAACACCUGGUAUUAUCCUGGACAAUAAAGACCUACACUGAAAAGAGGCAUCUUGCCAUAGUGGCUUUCAUUACCUUUCAACUUUAAGGUUGCCAUAUUUCAAAAAGUGAAUUUCCUUUUUUUGCUUGAGCUUUUUGUUUUCUUUUUGCCCAAAGCUAUUGAAGAAGAAGAUUUGGAGCUAUUUUUGUGGAAGUUCACCAAAAACUACACUUCUGACAUGGGUUGGGUUUCCAACCAAGUCGGUUUAGGUUCAGCAGUUCUAAGAAUCUGUCACCUCCCUGGAACAUCAAAUACAAUCCAAUGCAGACAAUGAAGAUCUUCGUGACUGUACUACUUAUUCUACAUCAAAUAUCUCCUGUCUAGGUUCAAUGGACAGAGAACGUUUAAUGGCUGCCAGAUUCUCAAAUCGAAUUAAUGUGAAUUAUUAGGAUUUAAGCCAAUUGGCUAAAACUCAAAUUCUAAACAUAUUACUUAGAAGCAUGUCCCAUUGAUUUCAAUAGGACUUAUUUCCAAGAAACAUGUAUAGUGUCGGGGUAUUAAUCAACUUAAGAUCCUUGUACUUAGCUGAGCUGUAGAUCAGCUUGAACUUUAUGGGGCUUAUAUUGGUUUAAUGUAGGUGGAUUUACCUGGAUUGCAGAUUGGGCUGCUUUUUAAACAAAGGGAUAGACAGACUUACAUUUUACAAAAGCAAGAGCACUAUUGCUUCCCAAAGCAUAUGAUUUUAAGCUUUCUCUUCUUCUGUUAUCUUAAUCUGCUAAGGGCAUUUUGAAACGAGUCUGUUAAUGUACAGAGUCACUCAUCAGUACACACCUGUUGCAGGAGACCACAAACCUAUUUCCUCCAGCUACUGUGCUGGAUGCAAAACAAUCCACCUGCUGGAUUGUGUGUUGUGUGUUGUAGCAUAAUUUACACCCCAUCCCCCACAAUUUUGAAAUGUUUCUCCAAGUUGAUUAGAAACUGUGUGAUCCCUGCUGACCAACUAACCUAAAAUACACACACACACACUCCGCACCAGCAGGGAUGUCUUUCCCACUACACCUUUCCAUCAUUUGAUGAACCUUUUCCCACCCAGUGAAAAUGUGUUUUUCAUUUGCUUGCUUUCCCUCUACAACAUUGGUGCGAUCACACACUGCAACCACAGAACAUGACUGUUCUCUAUACAGCCCCCAAAGAAGUAUAAAUUUCUUUAAAAACAAUCUGAAAACACUUUCUAUAAAUAAAUAAAUAAAUAAAUCUCAAAGCGGUUUACAAAAGCAGUAAUAAAAAAGCAAUAAAACAAUUUAAUGAAUAUCAUCAUUACAGCUCUAAAAGCAGUUCAAAUUGGCCCCAAUUAUUAGGAAGUGGCAAAGAGCCAUGGUCUUAAUAGACCCCUAAAGCAUACAGUUGUUGAUGCCUGUCAUAUUACAGAAAGGAGUUUCUCACAUAAGCUAGGUCCACUUUUUAUCAUAGCAUGCUAAAAAGUACUGCAUUUCUUUCCUUCUUUUUGGCAGGGCUUUUUUAAAUCAGGAAAC